GAUGAACGCUGGCGGCGUGCCUAAUACACGCAAGUCGAGCGAACAGACGAGGAGCUUGCUCCUCUGACGUUAGCGGCGGACGGGUGAGUAACACGUGGAUAACCUACCUAUAAGACUGGGAUAACUUCGGGAAACCGGAGCUAAUACCGGAUAAUAUAUUUAACCGCAUGGUUCAAUAGUGAAAGACGGUUUUGCUGUCACUUAUAGAUGGAUCCGCGCCGCAUUAGCUAGUUGGUAAGGUAACGGCUUACCAAGGCAACGAUGCGUAGCCGACCUGAGAGGGUGAUCGGCCACACUGGAACUGAGACACGGUCCAGACUCCUACGGGAGGCAGCAGUAGGGAAUCUUCCGCAAUGGGCGAAAGCCUGACGGAGCAACGCCGCGUGAGUGAUGAAGGUCUUCGGAUCGUAAAACUCUGUUAUUAGGGAAGAACAAAUGUGUAAGUAACUAUGCACGUCUUGACGGUACCUAAUCAGAAAGCCACGGCUAACUACGUG
RNAcentral lists this ribosomal RNA (497 nucleotides) under uncultured bacterium. RNAcentral describes it as "partial 16S ribosomal RNA". It matches the Rfam family "Bacterial small subunit ribosomal RNA", at positions 28 to 507 of the family's 1533-position model. The record is from RNAcentral.